This 200-nucleotide ribosomal RNA is filed under the name uncultured bacterium. Its description in RNAcentral is "partial 16S ribosomal RNA". It matches the Rfam family "Bacterial small subunit ribosomal RNA", at positions 8 to 205 of the family's 1533-position model. The record is from RNAcentral.
AGAGUUUGAUCAUGGCUCAGGACGAACGCUGGCGGCGUGCUUAACACAUGCAAGUCGAGUGCGCGUCCGUAGCAAUACGGAUGGCGCACGGCGCACGGGUGCUUAACACGUGGGCAAUCUGCCCUCCGAUGGGGAAUAACUCCGGGAAACCGAAGCUAAUUCCGCAUAACAUUCCCUGGACUCCGGUUUGGGGAAUCAAA